GAAAUGCGAUAAGUAAUGUGAAUUGCAGAAUUCAGUGAAUCAUCGAAUCUUUGAACGCACAUUGCGCCCGCCAGUACUCUGGCGGGCAUGCCUGUCCGAGCGUCAUUUCGACCCUCAGGUCCCCCUCGGGAGACCUGGCGUUGGGGGACGGCGCCCGUCGCCGCCCCCGAAAUGCAGUGGCGGCCACGUCGCAGCGACCUCCGCGUAGUAGCACAAACACGUCGCGGGAAGGGAGCUCGACGCGGCCACGCCGUAAAGACCGUCGACGCGACAACUCGCGGAAACACCCCCCAUAGAGUUGACCUCGGAUCAGGUAGGAAUACCCGCUGAACUUAA
RNAcentral lists this unclassified non-coding RNA (336 nucleotides) under uncultured Hypocreales. RNAcentral's name for it is "sequence contains ITS1". The stretch from base 1 to 105 matches the Rfam family "5.8S ribosomal RNA", at positions 50 to 154 of the family's 154-position model. Lineage: Eukaryota; Fungi; Ascomycota; Sordariomycetes; Hypocreales. The record is from RNAcentral.